This 490-nucleotide ribosomal RNA is filed under the name uncultured bacterium. Its description in RNAcentral is "partial 16S ribosomal RNA". It matches the Rfam family "Bacterial small subunit ribosomal RNA", at positions 30 to 507 of the family's 1533-position model. The record is from RNAcentral.
AUUGAACGCUGGCGGCAUGCCUUACACAUGCAAGUCGAACGGCCGCAUGAUCUAGCUUGUUCGCUUGAUUGCGCGUGGCGCACGGGUGUGUAAUAUAUCGAAACGUGCUCUGAGGCGGGGGUUAACUCGUCGAAAGAUUAGCAAAUACGGCAUACGUCUUGAGGGGGAUGGUGCGGGACUGCAAGGCGUUAUGCCUUAGGCUUGGCCGUUGUCCGAUUAGCUAGUUGGUGAGGUAAAGGCUCACCAAGGCGACGAUCAGUAGCUGGUCUGAGAGGUCGAUCAGCCACACUGGAACUGAGACACGGCCCAGACUCCUACGGGAGGCAGCAGUGGGGAAUUUUGGGCAAUGGGCGAAGGCCUGAUCCAGCAAUGCCGCGUAUGUGAAGAAGGCCUUCGGAUUGUAAAGCACUGUUAUCCGGAAAGAAAUGGCUCUGGUUAAUACCUGCAGUUGAUGACGGUACCGGAAGAAUAAGGACCGGCUAACUACGUG